CGUCCUGUAUUGGAGCAGACUCAUGAGAUAAUAUGCAUUGUUAAGGAGCUUGAGCUUCUUAAGUGCGAGUUACCGGGCAAGUUUGUCGCGGGCUGCAUAAUCGCUAAGCUUUCCAAUUCCUGGAGGAACUUUGCCACCACUCUGAAACAUCAGAGGCAUGAAUUCUCCGUGGAGGAUGUCAUUGGCCAUCUGAGUGUUGAGCAGAAUUUAAGGGCAAAUGACUCGCACGGAAAAGGGGUCGAAGGAACUUCUGUGACCAACAUGGUGCAUCAGAAGAACUCCAAUUCCCACAAGUCCAAGGGAAAGAACGGUGUCCAACAGAGUGCCGACUUUAAGAAGAAGGGUAAGAAGACCUUCAAGAAGAACAAGAAGGAUGAGGACUGCUUUACUUGUGGUUCGCUUGAACAUUGGGCCAACAAGUGCCCAAACAAGUAUAAGAAGCAAGGGCAGGACUCCAAGUCUGUCAAUAUGAUUGUGAGCAACAAUGAGAGUGGUGCAUCUGGGUACGGUAAUUUAUUUGUUGUAUUCUCAGUUUGGCCGUCCACCGAUUGGUGGGUCGACACAGGUGCAGGUGUUCAUGUGUGUGCUGACAUUUCAUUGUUUUCUUCUUACCAGGCCAUAGGUCACGGGUCCGUACUGAUGAGGAAUGGCACGAGUGCUUCUGUUCUUGGUGUUGACACGGUCGAUCUAAAGUUUACUUCGGGAAGGAUCGUGCAGCUGAAGAACGUGCUGCAUGUCCCCGCCAUCAAGAAGAACCUCGUUAGUAGCUCCCUUCUAUGUAGAGAAGGGUUUAAGUUGAUAUUCGAGUCUAAUAAAUUAGUUGUUACGAAAUAUGGACUAUUUGUUGAAAAGGGUUAUGAAUGCGGAGGCAUGUUCCACCUUUCUCUUGCAGAUCUAUGUAAUAAAGUC
This 909-nucleotide ribosomal RNA is filed under the name Triticum aestivum (bread wheat). RNAcentral describes it as "partial small subunit ribosomal RNA". The record is from RNAcentral. Lineage: Eukaryota; Viridiplantae; Streptophyta; Magnoliopsida; Poales; Poaceae.